Long non-coding RNA from Corythoichthys intestinalis (scribbled pipefish), 2727 nucleotides. RefSeq lists it as uncharacterized. NCBI's taxonomy places the organism in Eukaryota, Metazoa, Chordata, Actinopteri, Syngnathiformes, Syngnathidae. The record is from RefSeq and is a predicted model, not a curated record. The transcript has 4 exons.
UGAUUCCAUUCAGUCAGCGUCCUUGUUUUUCCACGUAUUUCUUUCUCACGGAGUUUACCGCCUGACCAACGUUCCUGGUAAUGGAUCACCCUCCACCUGCCAACAAAGAGACAACAAAUCUUGAACAAGAUCCUUCUUCCGUGGUCACCGAUCAACCAAAAGCAGAACAUGCUGAACAAGAUCCUCACGCCGACAAGACCGAACAGACCGUCCACGGUGUCAUGGAAUGUAUUGAGUGUUGCUGUUGCUGCCUUGAGCUUGCGGAACUUCUUGAAUAACUAUUCGAUCCAUCCAUCUUUUCAUCUUAGGCCUUUUUAAAAUGUGUUUAAAGACCCACAUUUUUUGACUUGCUUUCUCCUGACUAGGGUACCCUGUUUUUUUUCCCCCUUUGGGCUUUAAUGUGUUUGGAUUCUAUCCGUUUUAUUGAUUUAUUAGUUGUCUUCUGGCACAACGCAUUGUUUAUUUAUUUGAUUUAUCUGUUCUGAAUGUUACUGUAUGAUACUUUCCUGCCUUUUAUUUAUAAUGGCCUGUAGUUUGCUUUGUUGUAAAGUACUCUGAGGACUUCUCAGGUUGUUGUAACGAACUCUAUAAAUUUUAUUUGACUAUGAUUUGACCUCUGACACAUCUCAAGUGAUCAUCAGGUAUAAGAACCUCAAGCUUUCUAUUGCCUGAACUUUUUAUGUCUGAAAGAACCCCCAAAGAACACUGGGUACAAAAAAAUAUUUAUAUUUUCAAAUUUGACUUCACUGAGAUGCCUCACGUUAGGCAUGUUUUCCAGCUCCAAAUGACUACUUAUUAAAAUUUUUAUUAUUUAUUAAAAACAUAACAGGUUGAUAAAAUUUGAGUUUGGUUCACUUAUCAUAUUUAAUUAAGUUGUAUAUUAGUAUUGAGAGUGCAGUUUAGCAAUAACAGGUUAAGUGCAUGACCAUAUAUAUCUGUAUCCGUUUGAUAACGAUAUUGGAUUUUUGGAGUAAUACAAUAUCAAGAUAUCGGUUAGUGGUUAAAAAGACAUUAUCGGACAACUCAACUCAGCACCAUAGUUUCUGCUUACUUAGUGCAUAGUGCUUGUCUGUGUUUGUGCGCUCACUUUUUCCACGUUAUAGCCCCUGAAGACAAAGCUGGGUCUUCUAGGUCUAGCCAAAAGAAAAGUAAAUACCAAUAAAACAAAGCUUAUCGGCAUAAUAGGAAUGGAGAAAGGAGAGACACCAGAAAGACUUAUGCUGUGUACAAGGCAAAUCCGCAAAACCAAACAACUUCCGGUUCAUGUAUAGAAGGUUAAUACUUGAGCAAUAAAAGUAGCCAGACAGAUACUCUUUAUAGGUUCAAAAAGUUAAAUAAUGACCUAACUUAAGUAAAAUAGCUACAGAACAAUGCAAUAUUUAAAAGAAAGCAUCCAUGAUGAUGAAACAGAAAAAAGAAUUUAUCACUACGACGCUAAGACAGAAUGGUUCCCGGUGCACACAUUAUUUGAAUGUUGCUUUAAAUACUUGUUAAAACUCUUCUUUAAAAUCAUUAAAUUCAUUCAUUUCGUUUUAGCCUAGCGCUUUGAUUAAUACUAGUAAAGAUUGCUUUAGAUGUCUCUUUUAAACGUGACAGAACGUGAUGUAACUUCUAUGAACCACAGUAAAGCAAAAACACCUAUUGAAUAGUAUAAAAGUCUUCAAAAGUCAGAAUCCUUUAACUUGUAGUGCAAGGCCAUGCAGAGACCGAUAGAGGGCCAGGUGUUCAUAGAUCAAAAGGGGCACAUGAACAAGAAUUUAAUACACCUUAACCAGCUUUACAUGAUAAUUGGCUGUAACAGACUUUAAUUGGAAGGGGGGAUAGUGAAUAGCUAUCAACACUGUCAUCAACACUUUCUGCCUGUGACUCAAUCAGUCUUUGCCUGUUUUCUUCCUUCAACCUCAAUAUCAAAACUUCCUUACUCAACUUGUUAUUCAUCUGAAAACAAACCAAGUUAGAUGUUCACUGAGCCACCAUCAGCACUGUUUUUUCAAAAUUAUUUCAUUGUUAGAGAAUUUAGAGAUGUGUACCUUUCUAGAUAACGUUGUAAAGAGAAAACUGGAGUUUCCUCCCACAUUCCAAAAAUCCCCAGGCACGGGGAGAACAUGCAAACUCCACACAGAAAGGCCGAAGCCAAAGAUUGAACCCUUGAUCUCAGAACUGUGAGGCAGACGUGCUAACCAGUCAGCCACCGUACCGCCACUUAUACCACAGUUUAAGGAAAACAAGCAGAAUAUACUAGUAGGGCAGAAAAGAUACACGACGCCUUCUUAUGACAGAAGCCCAAAGUGAGCACCAACUCUCGCAAUCAGUUCUCCAGGACAGUCCAGAACAAAUGGCGGGACAUUCUGUCCCAACACAAGGAGCACCGGAGAACGCCCGAUAUCCAACUGAUAACACGACUGAAAAGACUCCAAGAACCCCUUUGACGCUGAGGUGGCAAAAUCCACAACCUUCGUUGCCCGGACAACAGUAACUCCCGAAUCCUCCUGUUCAAUCCACAAACAGACAAUAAUACCAAACACACCCUUCUUCCUGCCCACAGCCCACCCCGCGAGAGCCUUCAAAAGACUGAAUGUUUAACUGAUCGUUGUCAUUUUUUCUUGGGAACCUUUUACUGAAAUCUGAUAUGAUGACCUUGGAACGACUUUGCCUCCUCGCCUGAGUCUGUGCCUGUUUCGCCUUUCUGUUUGAUCACUGUCGAUCCGAAUAAAUUCUCAACUUGUU